Molecule: ribosomal RNA, 1370 nt
Filed under: uncultured bacterium
Lineage: Bacteria
Description: bacterial SSU rRNA
Rfam family: Bacterial small subunit ribosomal RNA
Source: RNAcentral
AGAGUUUGAUCCUGGCUCAGAACGACCUCUGGCGGCGUGGAUAAGACAUGCAAGUCGAACGAGAGAAUUGCUAGCUUGCUAAUAAUUCUCUAGUGGCGCACGGGUGAGUAACACGUGAGUAACCUGCCCCCGAGAGCGGGAUAGCCCUGGGAAACUGGGAUUAAUACCGCAUAGUAUCGAAAGAUUAAAGCAGCAAUGCGCUUGGGGAUGGGCUCGCGGCCUAUUAGUUAGUUGGUGAGGUAACGGCUCACCAAGGCGAUGACGGGUAGCCGGUCUGAGAGGAUGUCCGGCCACACUGGAACUGAGACACGGUCCAGACACCUACGGGUGGCAGCAGUCGAGAAUCAUUCACAAUGGGGGAAACCCUGAUGGUGCGACGCCGCGUGGGGGAAUGAAGGUCUUCGGAUUGUAAACCCCUGUCAUGUGGGAGCAAAUUAAAAAGAUAGUACCACAAGAGGAAGAGACGGCUAACUCUGUGCCAGCAGCCGCGGUAAUACAGAGGUCUCAAGCGUUGUUCGGAAUCACUGGGCGUAAAGCGUGCGUAGGCUGUUUCGUAAGUCGUGUGUGAAAGGCGCGGGCUCAACCCGCGGACGGCACAUGAUACUGCGAGACUAGAGUAAUGGAGGGGGAACCGGAAUUCUCGGUGUAGCAGUGAAAUGCGUAGAUAUCGAGAGGAACACUCGUGGCGAAGGCGGGUUCCUGGACAUUAACUGACGCUGAGGCACGAAGGCCAGGGGAGCGAAAGGGAUUAGAUACCCCUGUAGUCCUGGCAGUAAACGGUGCACGCUUGGUGUGCGGGGAAUCGACCCCCUGCGCGCCGGAGCUAACGCGUUAAGCGUGCCGCCUGGGGAGUACGGUCGCAAGAUUAAAACUCAAAGAAAUUGACGGGGACCCGCACAAGCGGUGGAGUAUGUGGCUUAAUUCGAUGCAACGCGAAGAACCUUACCUGGGCUUGACAUGUAAUGAACAACAUGUGAAAGCAUGCGACUCUUCGGAGGCGUUACACAGGUGCUGCAUGGCCGUCGUCAGCUCGUGUCGUGAGAUGUUUGGUUAAGUCCAGCAACGAGCGCAACCCCUGUUGCCAGUUACCAGCACGUGAAGGUGGGGACUCUGGCGAGACUGCCCAGAUCAACUGGGAGGAAGGUGGGGACGACGUCAGGUCAGUAUGGCCCUUAUGCCCAGGGCUGCACACGUACUACAAUGCCCAGUACAGAGGGGGCCGAAGCCGCGAGGCGGAGGAAAUCCUAAAAACUGGGCCCAGUUCGGACUGUAGGCUGCAACCCGCCUACACGAAGCCGGAAUCGCUAGUAAUGGCGCAUCAGCUACGGCGCCGUGAAUACGUUCCCGGGUCUUGCACACACCGCCCGUCA